GUACUUCUGAUAAAUCAGUACCUAUUAGUCUUAAUCUGUUAAAAGUGUAACAAGUGACUUUUCUCAUAUUUACACAUUAAAUACCAGCUACCUUUACAGCAUUACUUUAAAAUUUCAUGAUCCUGCUUAAAAUGACUAAAAAGAUACACUCAAUUUACACUUUGAAUCGCUCUCCUGUAAAGUUGCUGUUUUUCACAUCCGACGUUUUUAAUAGUCAUGAGCGACUUGUU
RNAcentral lists this unclassified non-coding RNA (230 nucleotides) under Melitaea cinxia (Glanville fritillary). RNAcentral describes it as "misc RNA ENSMCXG00005011495.1". The record is from RNAcentral. Lineage: Eukaryota; Metazoa; Arthropoda; Insecta; Lepidoptera; Nymphalidae.